RNAcentral lists this long non-coding RNA (275 nucleotides) under Amborella trichopoda. Its description in RNAcentral is "long non-coding RNA (ATRI_LNC000671)". The record is from RNAcentral. Lineage: Eukaryota; Viridiplantae; Streptophyta; Magnoliopsida; Amborellales; Amborellaceae.
UUAGAUAAAAGGUAUGGAUAAAAUAGGGAAGAAGGUCAGCUUAUUAGAACAAGGUUAAAACAGGUUAGAAAAAAGGGCUUAUUAGAACAGGUAAGAAAAGGGCUGGUUAGGAAAGGUACGGUUACGGCAGGUCAAAGGCUAAGAAACUCUUCGCGUGCUUUAGCAUUAGAUGCGAGACUGAAUCCAUGUUGUAUAUUUGAAUUAGGUUGACCUCCUUGUUCUCUCAUGGUACAAUCCUCUUCCCGCUGAGCCCCCCCUUUUCUCCUCGUCCCACA